UAUUGCUUCUGUAUGGCAUGACACCAGUAAAGACUAAGCUAAAGAUAUUUUGUGUCUUCCACCUGUUGUCCCCAACAGUCAAGCAAAAGCUGGUUCUCCUACAUGGGAACAUGCAAUUGCAGAAAGGUAAACAAUCUAUUUCGUUUUCUGCAUUCUGGCUGUCCCAAAAUUUCAGCCGUCUUUCUCUUUAUGAUUGCCCCAAACCUUGUCCCAACCCAAAACGAGAGCCAAAAGAAUCUAUAGGUUCCUGAAGUACCCAUUUAUUGAACUGAAUUGUUAAUAAUAGUUGAAGAAAGAAGGCAUCCCUUAAGAUUAUAAACUUUUGGGACCACCCCUCUUCUUCCCGAAGCAUCGCACCACCCCAACCGCCGUCUUUACCGCCACAUUCUCUCACCAGAGGUUUGAUCUACACUACCAAUUUCAGACGUCGAAUUACUCACUAUUUUGCUCGAAUUUAAUCAUAAUGGUUCCAUGAAAAUCUGCUCAAGAAUGUUUUGACAAAGUUCAUUUAGAGAGUCAGAACCCACUUUGCACUAAGACAUCUUCAAGUUCUAAAAACCAGAACUCACCAGUCACCAACUGGAUUUCUUAGUCUCUAGCAGUAAAUUGUUCAAAUCUGCUGAAACAAAGAGCAAAAAGCUUUGUGGGUAGAAGUGUAAAAGCCACGUGGCACGUAGAACUGUGAGAUAAUAAUUGCAGAAGUAUUGUCAUGCGUAUCAAGAUAAUGAAGUAGAUUUUUUCGAUGUUCUCAACAGUAAACCCCUCGGUUGAAGCCCUUCAGCUGAAUGCUCUACAAUUGACUCCGAAUCUGAGAAGCCCAAAUUCGUCCUUAAAGUCUCGCGACAUAUCUUCUUUAGGCCAUAAGAAGCACCUUUCUAGGUUUAGCGAUAGAAGUGCAAGCCCUCUUUCAAGUCUUCCAGUUCUGAAGAAGGUCAAGUAUGGCUUUACAUGAAAAGUAUAUUGACCAGUUACAUAUCAGGGACGGCAAGAGAAGAAGUCAGCUCGUCAUCAAAAGGAUGGAGAAGAUAACACUGUUCACAUGAAGGAUGUCACUAAAGCUGCAAGAGAGUCCCUAGCUAGAAUGGUUUAUUUAACUUUUUUAUGUUGUUUUGCAUUCUUUACAGAAUAUGAUGGAUAAACAAAAGGGUAAUAAUUACCAUUUGGUGGUUCCAUGUUUACUAGCUCAUUUCCUAUUCUUCGUUACAA
This is a long non-coding RNA of Spinacia oleracea (spinach), 1206 nucleotides long. RefSeq lists it as uncharacterized. The transcript has 3 exons. NCBI's taxonomy places the organism in Eukaryota, Viridiplantae, Streptophyta, Magnoliopsida, Caryophyllales, Amaranthaceae. The record is from RefSeq and is a predicted model, not a curated record.